CUCAGAGCGAGGAAGACGAUGACAGCAAAGACGAGAGUGAGCAAAUAAGGAGAACGAGAGCAGAAGGAGGAUCAAUUUUCCUCACAAAGACGGAGAUGGAGUCUGGCUGUUUUUUUUCUUCUGUCCUUCACUGAUGUGCCACCUCUCCAAUCAGCAGCCAAGGAGUGUGAUGCAGAAUGACUGAUGUACAACCGCACUGUACUUGAUGAUGAUGCCGUCCACCUGCUCCCACCUGCAUCAGAGCUGGAUGCUGCUGCAGGUACAGCACCUGGCUCCGAGAGAGGCCGUCCUACAGACACCACUCUUCUAUAAUCAUGACCAUUACAGAAAUCUGAGCAUAACAGAUGUCAGAUUUCAGACUUCAGUUAGUGCUGGGCAAAGACAAAUUUUAAGAUCAUCUGGCAUUUUUCACACAGGGUCAUUUAAUUAAAGUUGUUAAAGAGAGAAAAUAAAAAGUCUCUGAGCUAAUGAGCUCAUUAACAUCUACUGUUCUCAUCAUUUAGAUCAUUCGUUCAGAAUUUUUAUUCGGUCUACAACUACAAAC
Molecule: long non-coding RNA, 544 nt
Organism: Seriola aureovittata
Lineage: Eukaryota; Metazoa; Chordata; Actinopteri; Carangiformes; Carangidae
Exons: 3
Source: RefSeq, a predicted model, not a curated record